This is a non-coding RNA of Odocoileus virginianus texanus, 3565 nucleotides long. The record is from RefSeq and is a predicted model, not a curated record. Lineage: Eukaryota; Metazoa; Chordata; Mammalia; Artiodactyla; Cervidae.
UACUGGAGUGGGUUGCCAUUUCCUUCUCCAUGUUUGGGUUUUUUAAAAUUUCUUUGAAAAGAAGAAACUUUGAAAAGAAGUAACUAUGUUAACAUAUUUUAUUCUUGAUUUUAUUGAGUUGCUUUUCUGAGUCUUUUUGUAAUUCACUGAGUUUCUUCAUAACUGCUAUUCUGAAUUCUUUGUCAGUUAGAUCACAAUAUUCUGUGCCUUUGAGCAUGGCUGCUGGAGAACUGUCAUUUUCUUUCUGUGAUGCCAUAUUUCCUGAUUUCAUAUUCCUGGUACUUAUGCUCUGGUGCUUUUGCAUUUGAAGUAGCAGAUAUCUCCUUAACUCAGUGCUCAUUACCUUUAGCAGCAGACAGGGUAUUAUGUUAUAUAGUAUUGGUAUCAUCUCAGUUUUUCCUGUAUGUUUGUGCUCCACUCUUCUUGCUCUGUCUUGUGGCCAAAUUUUUAAGCUUUUGUAUAUUCUCUGAUUUUUACAAUUCACCAGGCUGGCUGGAUACCUUUUUUCCCAGAAGGUGGAGCUAUAGCUCAAAUCUGUGGUUUCUUCCUUGCCUGCCAACAUGACCUAUUUUGAGUAGGAUCCUGGUCUACCAGAGUUCACUUUCAUGGAUACACCAGGGAGCCUGCACAGGGAGCUGGCAUCAGAGCUGAGGGAAGGUGUGGGUUUAACACUUAGCGUGUUGGGACUGCCACACACCUGCAGGGGAAUUUUCAGGUACUCGCGCAUGAACUUUCUACUGAGCACGUGUCUUUGACAUCAUUUGAAAUUCUUAUCUGCCUCUUUCCCAAUAUCCUUCCUCUGCCCAGGUCGGGAGCUACCACCUUAGUACUUCAGAUGCUGGCAGAGAGAAACAGGUUUUUCCAGCUGCGUUCCACCUGGUGAUGGUAGCUGCCAGAAAAAUCAGCCCCUCGCAAUGUUUUCCUUGGUGGGCCAGGGCUGGGGCUGGGAAAGUUUCCCUUACCACCUAUGCUGCAAACAAACUCAUAUUUUUCUCUUUUCUCCAAUGAUGUGCCAGAUCUCCCUUCAGGAAGGAUGGACUUCAGCAAGUUCCAUAUGUGAUUACCUGUGAGGGCAGCAUUCACCUGUUUUUUGCCCUACUGCAGUGAGAGGGGUCUAGGCAGUUUCAUAGGCUCUGCUGGUUCUUGCCUGUAUUGAGAUUUAUCUGUGUCUUACCAGUUACAGUGGUGGGUGAGACUCCUCUUGGAGUCUUUUUUUUUUUUUUUCUUGGAGUCUUUUAGAAGACCCACCAAGGCACUUUUGUUCAGGUGGGGAUGUCUAAUCCAUGGGGUGAAAAAGAGGGAUUAAAAGCAGGAAUGUCUUUCGCUACCAUGUCACCCCCUUCACUCCUGAAUGUUUAUGCUCUUCUACUCCUCAAACAUUGCCUAUGAAGUAUUCCUGUAGGCACUGGAGAGUGAAUGCAAAACCCAGAAGUAUCUGGGCUGGGAGGGGGUGGGUCACUAUGAACUUAAAAUUCCUUUAGAAGAGUCUGAUGUUUGUUUUAAAUUACUCAAAUACUUUAUUCUACUAUACAUAUUUGUAUUUGUAUAUUUUCCUAUCUCAUACAAAUCAAAUUCUCUAGAGAAAUGUGUUAAUUCUAGGCCUCGCAUAUUUCAGUUUGAACCUUUUCUCCUCUCAAUCCAUCCUGCAUACCCCAAUCUUUUUAAGUCACUCUAAAAUACUGGGAUGGCCAAAAAGGUUGUUCAGGUUUUUCCAUAUGAUGGUAUAGAAAAACCUGAACAAACUUUUUGGCCAAUCCAAUAUUUGCUCUGCUAUGUCAUUCUUCUACUCAAAUCCCCCAUGUCUAGCCAUUGGAUAAGGUCCUGCCUUAGAAUGCCAUCUCCCUGGACAAGUCAUAAGUCAUGUGCAGUCUUCUAUAAUGUGGCCCAAACCUCUCUUCUUUAAAACCUAACUUUAUUCCUCAGCCUAAACUUUCUACUCCAGUCUGUCUGGCCUACACACCAUUCCCCUAAAAUAUUCACUGUGUAACUACCUGGGUCAUUCAAUACCCCAUACUGGGAAUGGUGGGGUUACAGGAGAUACCAAGAAGAAUGAGAUAUGGUUAUGGACUCUCCUACCCUUUCUCUCCACCUAUUUAAUCUCAACCCAUCCUUCCAGGCCCAAGAUAACUUUCACCACUUCCAUCAAGCCCUUCCUGGUAAUUCAAACCCACAUUUUAUCUACCCUGCUAUAUACCCUAUUUCAGUCCUCCUUCAGAAAAGAGUGCACACUCCCAUCUGUUUCCUUACUGACCACUUACACCUUAACCCUCUGCAGCCAGGUUUUACUUUCCACACUUUUUUCAAAAUGCUCCAGGGUGAUGUGACUGCCCCUGGGGGGCAAAUCCAGUGGCCUUUUCCCAGUGCUCAUCCUCACUUCAGUGUCUGACACUACAGACCACUUCUUGACACCUCUCCUCCCUUGUACCCCAAAACACUACAUUGUCAAGGUUCUCUCAUUUUUCUGAGAAUUCCUUCUUUCCUCUUCUCCUAAAUGGAGGUGUGUUCUCUGUCCUCCCAUUUCUCCAUCCUCUCUCCUUCAGGGUUUUAAACAAGGAUCCAGAUGGAGACUCCUCAGUCUGUAUCUCUAGCUCCAACCUCACCUGAAUUCUCUCCUUUUCAAACUGCCCAGUCAGUAUCUAGAUUGGGUUGAUUACAGCAACACAUAUUAAACCCUGUAAUGCAUUUUAGUAUAAAGACCAUUCACUCCAAGUCCUUACAACCCUUUCUAUGUGAAAGAAGUGAACAGAAAAACCAAUCUCGAAGAAAUCUGAAGAGCUCCUCUCUAUUGGAAAAGAUCCUUUAACCUCUCAAGUUCCACAGGAAAUAAUCACAAUAAUCAUUUUACUCCUCUUGCCACUUUGUGAUUUCCACACAUAAAAAGGAGGUGUCCAGCCCCUUCUGCCGAGAGAACACCAUUCAGCCUUCAAGUUUCCCCAGACAGCUCUGCUUCCGUCUCCAGGGAGUGUUACACUCCAGUCUGUGCUAACUUCAUAAUACAACCUCCUUCCUCUCAGCACCCAACUCCUGUUAGCCCUUCAAUGAUCUUGUUUCCAGAGCUGUGAAUAAACCACCUCUGCCCCAGCGACCAGAGUCAUCUGAUAGGAGAAAGAGAAGAUUUUCUUCUAUAGGAGGCAAAAUCAAGUCCACAAUUUAAAAAAAAAAGAAAAGGGGAUCUUCCUGGCCCAGGGAUUGAACCCAAGUCUCCUGCAUUCCAGAAGGCAGGCAGAAGGACUGGUAAUUGUUGGACUCCCACCAGGCCAUCCUUCGAGAAACCAGAGGGGAGAGGAAUUAACUGAGCCUAUCACCAUUUCCCUCGAAGCACAUCCUGGGCUGUGAUUCACAAACGCCAAGAGAAGGUUGGAGACCACAGGCAUGGACACUCAUCUAUAUCCUGCCAAUGGAACCACCUACCACAGACUGGACCUGUACUCACUGAUCAAACACAAAACUCCAAAUGUUAAUACAACUGGGAAAUUUUUCCUGGCAGCUGGACUGCAUGAAAAAAUAUAUAUAAUUUUUUUUGGCAGUUGGACUGACUGAAAAAUAUAAUUAUCUUUCUGGAAAA